RNAcentral lists this ribosomal RNA (496 nucleotides) under uncultured bacterium. Its description in RNAcentral is "partial 16S ribosomal RNA". It matches the Rfam family "Bacterial small subunit ribosomal RNA", at positions 28 to 506 of the family's 1533-position model. The record is from RNAcentral.
GAUGAACGCUGGCGGCGUGCCUAAUACAUGCAAGUCGAGCGAACGGACGAGAAGCUUGCUUCUCUGAUGUUAGCGGCGGACGGGUGAGUAACACGUGGAUAACCUACCUAUAAGACUGGGAUAACUUCGGGAAACCGGAGCUAAUACCGGAUAAUAUUUUGAACCGCAUGGUUCAAAAGUGAAAGACGGUCUUGCUGUCACUUAUAGAUGGAUCCGCGCUGCAUUAGCUAGUUGGUAAGGUAACGGCUUACCAAGGCAACGAUGCAUAGCCGACCUGAGGGGGGGAUCGGCCACCCUGGAACUGAGACACGGUCCAGACUCCUACGGGAGGCAGCAGUGGGGAACCUUCCGCAAUGGGCGAAAGCCUGACGGAGCAACGCCGCGUGAGUGAUGAAGGUCUUCGGAUCGUAAAACUCUGUUAUUAGGGAAGAACAUAUGUGUAAGUAACUGUGCACAUCUUGACGGUACCUAAUCAGAAAGCCACGGCUAACUACGU